UCAAAUCCAAAGCUGGAGCAA
Molecule: non-coding RNA, 21 nt
Filed under: Caenorhabditis elegans
Lineage: Eukaryota; Metazoa; Nematoda; Chromadorea; Rhabditida; Rhabditidae
Source: RNAcentral